RNAcentral lists this small RNA (28 nucleotides) under Bombyx mori (domestic silkworm). RNAcentral describes it as "ovarian small RNA-11757". Lineage: Eukaryota; Metazoa; Arthropoda; Insecta; Lepidoptera; Bombycidae. The record is from RNAcentral.
AGAACCUAUGAUUACAUAAGGUUGCCUC